This 459-nucleotide ribosomal RNA is filed under the name uncultured bacterium. Its description in RNAcentral is "partial 16S ribosomal RNA". It matches the Rfam family "Bacterial small subunit ribosomal RNA", at positions 338 to 795 of the family's 1533-position model. The record is from RNAcentral.
CCUACGGGAGGCAGCAGUGAGGAAUAUUGGUCAAUGGCCGCAGGGCUGAACCAGCCAAGUCGCGUGAGGGAUGACGGUCCUAUGGAUUGUAAACCUCUUUUGUCAGGGAGCAAAGGGCGCCACGUGUGGCGCUUUGCGAGUACCUGAAGAAAAAGCAUCGGCUAACUCCGUGCCAGCAGCCGCGGUAAUACGGAGGAUGCGAGCGUUAUCCAGAUUUAUUGGGUUUAAAGGGUGCGCAGGCGGAAUGUCAAGUCAGCGGUAAAAUUUCGGGGCUCAACCCCGUCGUGCCGUUGAAACUGGCGUUCUUGAGUGAGCGAGAGGUAGGCGGAAUGCGUGGUGUAGCGGUGAAAUGCAUAGAUAUCACGCAGAACUCCGAUUGCGAAGGCAGCAUACCGGCGCUCAACUGACGCUCAUGCACGAAAGCGUGGGUAUCGAACAGGAUUAGAUACCCGAGUAGUC